This 162-nucleotide long non-coding RNA is filed under the name Felis catus (domestic cat). RNAcentral's name for it is "lncRNA (ENSFCAG00000041515.2)". Lineage: Eukaryota; Metazoa; Chordata; Mammalia; Carnivora; Felidae. The record is from RNAcentral.
AAGCUGAUGGAGAACCACCCGGCUGUCUGUUCUACCAUUUGGUCAGGUCAACUGUGAUGACAUAUUUCUUUGUUUUAUGGUUAAACUGUGGUGGUCCUCUUCAGAAAGCCACUGUUAUACUACUAGAAUAUCAUUUGCAUGAGAAGAGGUGAUAGAGUGGAA